RNAcentral lists this long non-coding RNA (207 nucleotides) under Elaeis guineensis (African oil palm). RNAcentral describes it as "long non-coding RNA (EGUI_LNC030712)". The record is from RNAcentral. Lineage: Eukaryota; Viridiplantae; Streptophyta; Magnoliopsida; Arecales; Arecaceae.
UAUCCACUUUAUUUCUUUUCUUUCAACUUUUGGCUGGUUUCUCUCAGCCAAAGACUUGUCCUUUGUCUCUAGAGCAUUAUUCCUUGUCUCUAGAGCAUCAUCAUGUUCUUGUCACGCAAGUUUUCUUCACCUUAUCUUGAUUCUUUCAGAUCUGAUCUGAAAAUACACUGUACAAGUAUCGCAGAUUGGCCUUUGAAGGACUGGUCU